Molecule: ribosomal RNA, 798 nt
Filed under: uncultured bacterium
Lineage: Bacteria
Description: SSU rRNA
Rfam family: Bacterial small subunit ribosomal RNA
Source: RNAcentral
AUGGGAGCUUGCUCCCUGAUGUUAGCGGCGGACGGGUGAGUAACACGUGGGUAACCUGCCUGUAAGACUGGGAUAACUCCGGGAAACCGGGGCUAAUACCGGAUGCUUGUUUGAACCGCAUGGUUCAAACAUAAAAGGUGGCUUCGGCUACCACUUACAGAUGGACCCGCGGCGCAUUAGCUAGUUGGUGAGGUAACGGCUCACCAAGGCAACGAUGCGUAGCCGACCUGAGAGGGUGAUCGGCCACACUGGGACUGAGACACGGCCCAGACUCCUACGGGAGGCAGCAGUAGGGAAUCUUCCGCAAUGGACGAAAGUCUGACGGAGCAACGCCGCGUGAGUGAUGAAGGUUUUCGGAUCGUAAAGCUCUGUUGUUAGGGAAGAACAAGUACCGUUCGAAUAGGGCGGUACCUUGACGGUACCUAACCAGAAAGCCACGGCUAACUACGUGCCAGCAGCCGCGGUAAUACGUAGGUGGCAAGCGUUGUCCGGAAUUAUUGGGCGUAAAGGGCUCGCAGGCGGUUUCUUAAGUCUGAUGUGAAAGCCCCCGGCUCAACCGGGGAGGGUCAUUGGAAACUGGGGAACUUGAGUGCAGAAGAGGAGAGUGGAAUUCCACGUGUAGCGGUGAAAUGCGUAGAGAUGUGGAGGAACACCAGUGGCGAAGGCGACUCUCUGGUCUGUAACUGACGCUGAGGAGCGAAAGCGUGGGGAGCGAACAGGAUUAGAUACCCUGGUAGUCCACGCCGUAAACGAUGAGUGCUAAGUGUUAGGGGGUUUCCGCCCCUUAGUGCUGCAGCU